This 203-nucleotide ribosomal RNA is filed under the name uncultured bacterium. RNAcentral's name for it is "partial 16S ribosomal RNA". It matches the Rfam family "Bacterial small subunit ribosomal RNA", at positions 1298 to 1500 of the family's 1533-position model. The record is from RNAcentral.
UUGCAGGCUGCAACCCGCCUGUAUGAAGUUGGAAUCGCUAGUAAUCGCGGANCUAGCAUGCCGCGGUGAAUACGUUCCCGGGCCUUGUACACACCGCCCGUCACACCAUGAGAGUCGGGAACACCCGAAGUCCGUAGCCUAACCGCAAGGGGGCGCGGCCGAAGGUGGGUUCGAUAAUUGGGGUGAAGUCGUAACAAGGUAAC